GACGAACGCUGGCGGCGUGCUUAACACAUGCAAGUCGAACGCUGAAGCCCUCUCGGGGGUGGAUGAGUGGCGAACGGGUGAGUAACACGUGGGUAAUCUGCCCUGUACUUCGGGAUAAGCCUUGGAAACGGGGUCUAAUACCGGAUAGGACCUGUCCUCGCAUGGGGGUGGGUGGAAAGUUCCGGCGGUAUGGGAUGAGCCCGCGGCCUAUCAGCUUGUUGGUGGGGUAGUGGCCUACCAAGGCGACGACGGGUAGCCGGCCUGAGAGGGUGACCGGUCACACUGGGACUGAGACACGGCCCAGACUCCUACGGGAGGCAGCAGUGGGGAAUCUUGCGCAAUGGGCGAAAGCCUGACGCAGCAACGCCGCGUGGGGGAUGGCGGCCUUCGGGUUGUAAACCUCUUUCGACAUCGACGAAGGGGCCCUGUUGUGGGGUUUUGACGGUAGGUGUAGAAGAAGCACCGGCUAACUACGUGCCAGCCGCCGCGGUAA
Molecule: ribosomal RNA, 493 nt
Filed under: uncultured bacterium
Lineage: Bacteria
Description: partial 16S ribosomal RNA
Rfam family: Bacterial small subunit ribosomal RNA
Source: RNAcentral